This 253-nucleotide ribosomal RNA is filed under the name uncultured bacterium. RNAcentral's name for it is "partial 16S ribosomal RNA". It matches the Rfam family "Bacterial small subunit ribosomal RNA", at positions 524 to 776 of the family's 1533-position model. The record is from RNAcentral.
UACAGAGGUGGCAAGCGUUGUUCGGAAUUACUGGGCGUAAAGGGCGCGUAGGUGGCCUUCUUAGUCAGACGUGAAAUCCCCAGGCUUAACCUGGGAACUGCGUCUGAUACUGGAAGGCUCGAGUUCGGGAGAGGAAUGUGGAAUUCCAGGUGUAGCGGUGAAAUGCGUAGAUAUCUGGAGGAACACCGGUGGCGAAGGCAGCCCCCUGGGCUAACACUGACGCUCAGGCACGAAAGCGUGGGGAGCAAACAGG